Molecule: ribosomal RNA, 413 nt
Filed under: uncultured Glomeraceae
Lineage: Eukaryota; Fungi; Glomeromycota; Glomeromycetes; Glomerales; Glomeraceae
Description: partial 28S ribosomal RNA
Source: RNAcentral
GAGAGUUAAACAGUACGUGAAAUUGUUGAAAGGGAAACGAUUGAAGCCAGUCGUACCUUCGGGUAAUCAGCCUUUCGGGUGCGAUUCUGUGGAGUUUGAGGAGCUUUAACACCUUCAUGCUUUGCAUAUUCGUGCUCUUGGGUGUACUUGCCCGUGUGGUUGGUUAACAUCAAUUUCGGACGUCAUAAAAUGAUUGGAGGAAUGUAGCUUUGAUCUCGUAUCGAAGUGUUAUAGCCUUUGGUAGAUGUGACGAUUGGGAUUGAGGAUUGCAACGGAUACCCCUCGGGGCUACCCGUCUGAUCUCUGAAGGUUACUCCGGUGCUGAAAGCGUGCUUAUGGUUAUCGGAAGUGAUUUUCAAAAGGUUAGAACGGGUUAAAUUCGUUAAGGAUGUUGACGUAAUGGCUUUAAACGA